Molecule: ribosomal RNA, 432 nt
Filed under: uncultured bacterium
Lineage: Bacteria
Description: partial 16S ribosomal RNA
Rfam family: Bacterial small subunit ribosomal RNA
Source: RNAcentral
AACGAACGCUGGCGGCAUGCCUAACACAUGCAAGUCGAACGAGACCUUCGGGUCUGUGGCCCACGGGUUCGUAACGCGUGGGGACCUGCCCUUAGGUUCGGACUAACCUCCCGAAAGGGGUUCCUAUUACGGAUUAUUUCUUUCGACCAAAGAUUUAUUGCCUUUGGAUGGGCCCGCGUUGGAUUAGCUAGUUGGUUGGGUAAAAGCCUACCAAGGCGACGAUCCAUAGCUGGUCUGAGAGGAUGAGCAGCCACACUGGGACUGAGACACGGCCCAGACUCCUACGGGAGGAAGCAGUGGGGAAUAUUGGACAAUGGGCGAAAGCCUGAUCCAGCAAUGCCGCGUGAGUGAUGAAGGCCUUAGGGUUGUAAAGCUCUUUUACCCGGGAUGAUAAUGACAGUACCGGGAGAAUAAGCUCCGGCUAACUCCGUG